GACGAACGCUGGCGGCGUGCUUAACACAUGCAAGUCGAACGGAAAGGCCCUGCUUUUGUGGGGUGCUCGAGUGGCGAACGGGUGAGUAACACGUGAGUAACCUGCCCUUGACUUUGGGAUAACUUCAGGAAACUGGGGCUAAUACCGGAUAGGAGCUCCUGCUGCAGGGUGGGGGUUGGAACGUUUCGGCGGUUGGGGAUGGACUCGCGGCUUAUCAGCUUGUUGGUGGGGUAGUGGCUUACCAAGGCUUUGACGGGUACCCGGCCUGAGAGGGUGACCGGCGACAUUGGGACUGAGGUACGGACCAGACUGCUACGGGAGGCAGCAGUGGGGAAUAUUGCACAAUGGGCGGAAGCCUGAUGCAGAAACGCCGCGUGCGGGAUGACGGCCUUCGGGUUGUAAACCGCUUUCGCCUGUGACGAAGCGUGAGUGACGGUACUGGGUAAAUAAGCACCGGCUAACUACGUG
This 468-nucleotide ribosomal RNA is filed under the name uncultured bacterium. RNAcentral's name for it is "partial 16S ribosomal RNA". It matches the Rfam family "Bacterial small subunit ribosomal RNA", at positions 28 to 507 of the family's 1533-position model. The record is from RNAcentral.